AGCCUGACAUCCACACAACAACAGCUAUCACGACACAACGUCCCUAACUAUUAUACCGGCGAUAGUACACUUUGCUCCCUAACUUUUCACGCAGAGUCACAUAUCACAAGGAGUAUAUACUUCUGCCGUUCCAGUGAAUGAUUUUGUAACAUCAAUCUGUGUUUAUAGAGAGUGCUUUUGCUUGUAUUCGUCAGAAAAGUCGAGGUAUAUAAUAUAGUCAUGUCUGCUUUAGGACCAGGACGGGGAUCUGCAUUAGGACCAGGACGGGGAUCUGCAUUGGGUAUGGGGUCUGCUCUCGGCGGCCAGAACCCUCAAGAUGAGGAGGAUAAGAUGGAACGACCCGUGAUCACCGACAAGGACGUCGAAGAAGCCGGCGAGGGUCUCGUAGCCAACCCAUUCACCAUCUCAGAAUCGUUCAACAGACUCGAAGAUGGAGAUGCUCCCCAUAUCUUCAGUGGCGGUGCCAAGGGCAGCGAGACUGUUUUUAAGAAGGAUGUGAGGGAAGCCCAACCGGUCAAGACCCUAAAGAACGUUCCACAGGGCCAUUGCGUCGGCUGUGGGAAAGAAAUCACAGGAAAGUAUACAAAGAUUCGCGACCAUGGAUUCCAUCACGAUUGCUUCAAUUGCGCCGUCUGCGGUAAAAAUUUGAGAGGAAUUGGCUAUUAUGAAGUUCGCGGAGAGAUAUACUGCAAGAAAGACCGACCCAUGUGAAAUGCCCACAUAAGCAUGAUGCAUGAAACCGGUGUGAGAGGAGUAUAAUGUACAGUAAAGGUUAUUUCGAGGUCAAAGGCAACUUUUACUGCAAGCAACACACACCGGUGUGAAGCAGUUCUACCGAUUUUCAUCACAAAAGCUUGCAAUUUUGACAAUAUUAGAAACUAUACAGCACUGCAUCUAAAAGAAAAUAGUUUAUAUACGAAUACCUGUAUCUUUUGUAUGGACUGUAAUAUCUCCUUUUUUCGACUAUGUAUCAUAUUAAAUCAAAAUUAGAUCGUAGUUUCAAUGAACAAAGCUACUGGAAAGUUGUUAAUAACAAUUGAAACAUUGAAACAAGUUUCUAAUUUUAUUUCCGUGUAAAAUAUUGACAUUAUUUUGUUUAUUUGACUCGGGGGCGGAUACCGUAGGAAACGAAACAGAGAAAAACAAAAGAAAAGUAAAAAGAAAAUACUAAAGAAAAAAGAGAGAAGAAGCCAAUUAUUCUGUAAUUCUAAUGAAAUUGAGAGGGCGAGCCCACAAUAUAGGCCCAUAAUUAUGCUAUAUCGAGGCAAUUCAGAUUUCAGUACAUU
RNA transcript from Strongylocentrotus purpuratus (purple sea urchin), 1286 nucleotides. It is a transcript of the gene named PDZ and LIM domain protein 4, with no coding region annotated. The record is from RefSeq and is a predicted model, not a curated record. NCBI's taxonomy places the organism in Eukaryota, Metazoa, Echinodermata, Echinoidea, Camarodonta, Strongylocentrotidae. The transcript is spliced from 6 exons.